GACGAACCGUGCUAACGUUAUUCGGAAUUACUGGGCUUAAAGCGCGUGUAGGCGGGACGGCACGUCCGUCGUUGAAAGCCCCCGGCUCAACCGGGGAAUCGGCGCGGAUACGACCGUCCUCGAGGAGCGUAGGGGGACAGGGAACUUCCGGUGGAGCGGUGAAAUGCGUUGAGAUCGGAAGGAACACCCGUGGCGAAAGCGCUGUCCUGGACGCUUUGCUGACGCUGAGACGCGAAAGCUAGGGGAGCAAACGG
RNAcentral lists this ribosomal RNA (254 nucleotides) under uncultured bacterium. Its description in RNAcentral is "partial 16S ribosomal RNA". It matches the Rfam family "Bacterial small subunit ribosomal RNA", at positions 524 to 775 of the family's 1533-position model. The record is from RNAcentral.